UCGAUUCCAAGUAGGGAGCAAGGUCACGGGCUUUAAGCGAAAGCCAUGAGUUCAUUUCCCCUAAAGAGGAUGGCAUUGCGCUAGGCUGGCUUCACAGAGCAGCGAACACUUCCCUCUUCUGUCGGUGGAAGGAUAA
This 136-nucleotide non-coding RNA is filed under the name Daucus carota subsp. sativus. Lineage: Eukaryota; Viridiplantae; Streptophyta; Magnoliopsida; Apiales; Apiaceae. The record is from RNAcentral.